This 361-nucleotide ribosomal RNA is filed under the name Enoplus sp. 2 JAL-2013. RNAcentral's name for it is "bacterial SSU rRNA". It matches the Rfam family "Eukaryotic small subunit ribosomal RNA", at positions 87 to 433 of the family's 1831-position model. Lineage: Eukaryota; Metazoa; Nematoda; Enoplea; Enoplida; Enoplidae. The record is from RNAcentral.
UCGCGAAUAGCUCAUUACAACAGCCAUAGUUUACUAGAUAGUUCUAUACUACAUGGAUAACUGUGGUAAUUCUAGAGCUAAUACAUGCAACAAACGGCACCCUCAUGGGUGCCGCGCUUUUAUUAGAACAAAACCAAUCGCUUCAGCGCUUCGGCGUCGUUGCGUUAUUUGGUGAGUCUGAAUAACUUGGCAGAUCGCACGGUCUUCGUACCGGCGACGAAUCUUUCAAAUGUCUGCCUUAUCAACUUUCGAGGGUAAUUUAACAUGCCUACCAUGGUGAUAACGGGUAACAGAGAAUAAGGGUUUGACUCUGGAGAGGCAGCCUGAGAGACGGCUACCACAUCCAAGGAAGGCAGCAGGC